Pan troglodytes (chimpanzee) is the source of this 3293-nucleotide long non-coding RNA. RefSeq lists it as uncharacterized. Lineage: Eukaryota; Metazoa; Chordata; Mammalia; Primates; Hominidae. The transcript has 6 exons. The record is from RefSeq and is a predicted model, not a curated record.
GCCAUAACGACAGAAUAUGUGUGUGUGUUUAGUAGAAAGACAAUCCUUUUUUUUCCAGUCAAUUUUUUCUUUGAUCUAUAGAACUUGCUUCUUUUCUCUGAAGUUUUCACAAUACAGCAUGAAGGAGCACAGAGUGCCAGAGGCAGGGAAUUCCUAUGCUUCACUAGUGACUCAUAAGAAAACUUAAUAGAAGGUCUCUACUGCCUGCUGGCCCUGCAGUACCUGAUUGAUGUGGUCCCAAACUAAAGUAGGCUAACCUUCAUUGAACCAAGCACUUCAGAGCCAUGGGAAGAAGUAUGGGGGAAGGAGUCCUUGUACUCUGGCAAUGAGGAAAACAAACAUUAACAGUGCAAGACACAGUGAGAGUCACAGAUCCAUGGAUGGACGAUCCUUUUGAGGACAAUAGAGGGGGAAUUUGGAUAAGUUUCCUGAGUGAGAAACCUUCCAGAUGGCAAUCUGCAAGUUAGUUGUUCCUUCUCAAAACACAGAGCUUUCUCAAGAGAAAGAUAACACCCUCUUUCAUCAGAGCGAGUGAGCUUUCUUCAUGGUGGCAAUUUCCAGUCUCCAGUGCAAGGAGGGGAAACUGAAGGAGAAUAAGGCGGUUACAUUCAGUUAGAGCCUGAGAGCAGAAUUUGGUUAGGCUGAAGCAGCUGUAAACUGUGGAAUGUAAUACCAGAGAGGAGACUGCCACACAAAGAACUCUAAAAAUUUUGAUUUUCAGCAAACCUUCAGAAGGCAAAAGGGAAAGUUUUCCCAUGGGCCAACGUGGAUAUGUUUCUGUAAUAGUCUGCUCAGCCUUCUACAACAAGAUGUCACAGACUGGGUGACUUAAACCAGGGAUCCUCAAACCCUGGCAAUGGAUCGGUACGGGUCAGUGGCCUGUUAGGAAUCAGGCCACGUAGCAGGAGUCCAUAUUUGGAAUAACAACAAUAUAACACUCCUUUGGUAGUUAUAUUUUCUCACCUUCUUUACAGAAGAAGAAUUCCUUACUUAGAAAGGGUAAGUAACUUGACCCUAAUGACCUAGCUGGAAGUGACAGGUCUCUGUGAGAUUCAAGAGUCUAUUUUCCUAACCAUUGUGUUACAGAGAUGAAGUAGACCUAAUUGUGAUAUCCUUUUCCUCUUUUAUGCCCUUUUUAUUUAUCCUUAUGUUGCAUUUAUCCAAAUUAAUUCAAUGGGGCAGUCUAACAAAUCUAGUUUACAUUUCAUUAAUUAUGGGCAUGUUAAUAACAACUCUUAACCCCAAACAUUACCACAGUUCAGGGACAAAGGUUAUUAAGGAGGAUAUAAAUUCUCUAUAUGUACUGGAUGGCUCCCAAGGAAACAGGAUUGGCAUGUUUUACUAUCAGUGUUAUCAGAGUCAUGUUGUAGGCAGCUCCCUUCUAUCAAGUCAACAAAUAAAAUAAUGGUAACUACCUUUUUUGAUGGAUAACAUGUUAGCCUCUGUGCUAAGAGAUUUGCAUAACUUUUUUCAUUUAGCUGACCUAGGAUCUAAAGAGAUAGCAAUGUUCUCCAUUUUAAAAGUGAGAAACCUGAGUUUUAGAGAAGCUAAGUAACUUGCACAAGGAGAAGUCACUUUAGCAAUAUUCAUAGUUAUUACAGUUUGAAUCUGGAAUUGAAUUUGCAUUAGCUCAUUCCCGUGGCUGUGCUCAAGGGCUACCCUCUACUGCUCUGGUUCUGGGCAGUAUGUCAGCUUCUUCCCUCUUUUCUUUCUGAAGGAGACCGCAGAAUGUCAUCCCAAAAUAUGGCACCCUAGUAUGCUUAAGUAUUUUGAAAUGAAGGCCCUUGGAAAUCAGCAGGUGCUAGGAGAGGCUUUUCCCCUAUCUGCAGAGGGACUGGGCACACCCAAAAAGAAAACAAUUACCUUCUGUCCCUUCCCUGAGUUUUCAUUAAGUAAACUCAUAUUGUAGGGAGUGGGGAAUGUAACUACACAUGGACAAAUUUAUUUCAUCAGGAGCCACUGUCUAUUCCCCUAGACCCAUUCAGUUUCCAAAGAAACUAACCAUUGGUUAGGAACCAUUGUCUGAGCAUUGGGCCUGUUCAUUUCCCCUAACAUUGUUUACUCUAGAUUUCCUAAUCUCCCUUCCCUUGUGAAGAAGGUUUUAAAAGUAUAUGUACUUCAUUUGGUUUUGGAUAAUCAUUCUACGGUGAUUUUUUUUUUUACCCAUGCAUAAUAAAAUAAAUUUGUAUGCCUUUUUCUCCUAUUAAUGUGACUUUUGUCAGUUUAUUUUCAGCAAAUCUUGACUGCAAAGGGGAAGUCUUCCCUCUUCACUCCUAUGCUUCCUUCUUUUCUUCAUUUUUUUUUCUGCCUUCCAAUUUACCUUGACUACCUUUUUUUCAAUUAUCUCACAAUCUUGAAUAAAUCAACAUUUAGUAGUUAUGUAGUUAAGCACUUUUACAUUUGAGCAACGUGAAUAAUGUAAUAUAGUUGACUUCUUAAAUGGAAGCCCUUCCCUUGGGCUUUUACAGUAAUUUUAAAAAGAGAAAAAAAUAAAUUUUUAUAAGUGGAAACAAAUUAAAAAUUUUUCUGUCACAGGUGUAAAUUUAUACUAAAUUUCAAUUAAAAUACAACUACUUAUAUAUUUCAUAAAUUUGUGGUAGAGGGCAUUGAUAAUCAAAUAUAUUGAUGUUCAGAAAAGAAUACCUCCAAAUUUGUCACUUUGGACUUCAAACAGAGCAGCUGAAGAGCAGCAAAGGCAGGGAAAGGGCUUUCUCUGAUCUACCCUUAACCGACUAAGGUAAGUUCCUCCAGAAGACAUACAAUUGUCAAUCAGGGAAGAUUAAAUCAGGAAAAGAGACUACAAGUCUGACACCUCCAUUGAGAGACUUUAACCACAGCUACCAUCAAUUCCUCUGAGGGUUGCUUCUGAGAAACUUUAUCUGCAUAGUAAGACAGCCUUUGUUCCCAGUGCAGUUUCUCCCCUGACCCUCCCAUGGCUUGUCACCAUCUCCCCCUGAAAAGCCCCCAGACCCUAUUCUUUCUCUAGGAUAUAAAACUUCAGUCAUUUGAGGGCAUAAAGGUAUAAAAUCUUUAAUCAUCGAGUCUUUCUUUGAGUCUCACAUUUUAUGGGAUGCCCAUGCAUGUUGACAUAAAGAAUUUGUUUGCCUUUUUACCUCUUAAUCUGUCUACUGUCAAGUUUAUUCCAGAAAUCUAACUUUCAGGGGGUAGAAGAGAAUUUUCUUUCACUCCUACAAGCGCAUUCUUUAAAUUGUACUUUUACACCUUCAAUAAAAUGCUUAGGAAUUCCUAGGUCAGUGCUUUUUAAAUCCCGGCUAAAGAAUUGCCUAAGUAGU